Neocloeon triangulifer is the source of this 259-nucleotide long non-coding RNA. RefSeq lists it as uncharacterized. Lineage: Eukaryota; Metazoa; Arthropoda; Insecta; Ephemeroptera; Baetidae. The record is from RefSeq and is a predicted model, not a curated record. The transcript has 3 exons.
CAAAAAACUUGAAGCUUUUCGUUUGACAGGCUGCCAUAAUUCUGAAGACCGAUCCGUAUUCCAACUGCGGUUGAAGCUAUGAGGCCUAAGCAGAAAAAUAUUUAGGCCAAAAAUUAAUAAAAGAAUCUUGCAACCCGCAGAAGCGCAGGGAGGUGGAAUUCCUGGAUCGUGAUAAACUUAAUGACAUACGUUGAAGGGUAUUGUCAACGUCUGUAAUUUUUCUUGCUUAUUUCCAGAACACGUUUGUGUUAGGUUAAAA